This is a long non-coding RNA of Balaenoptera musculus (blue whale), 1838 nucleotides long. RefSeq lists it as uncharacterized. The record is from RefSeq and is a predicted model, not a curated record. The transcript has 8 exons. Lineage: Eukaryota; Metazoa; Chordata; Mammalia; Artiodactyla; Balaenopteridae.
AGCGCACGGGGAGACGGUGGGCGCAGGAGGAAGGGGGUGAGGAGCCCUUCUCCUCCCCCACCCCGCGGCGCGAGGAGUCGGGGCAGCGGAGCAGAGUCACACCCAGAACCACCUCACCUCCACCCCUUCUUCUCCAGGCCACUCAGUAGAGGCACAGAGCCCACGCCUUGCAUACCCCCUCCAACCUCAAAGGAGAGGGACGAGGAAGGGCUGUGACUUGCGCACCGGCUGCAGGAGCCCUGGCUGGCAAGAACCCCCGGAUGCGCCCAGAACUACUCCGAGUUGCAAGCCGCGCACAACGCAGGACUGGAGUUGAGGCUUGAAAGGGCUGGGGGUGCCAACUUACCCUGCAAAGUUUGCUGACUGCUGCCUUAGAUGACUGCACCCUCAUCUGCCAUCAUGUGAAGCAAAAGAACUGCCUGGCUGAAUGAAACCAACCCACAUCGGUUUAUCCUGUAUGGGACUCUCUGUGCUUCCUGGACUUGUGUGACUAUUUCCUUUCCCAGAUCUUCCCCGAAGAGGUGGACCGGUCGAGGCCCCAGCACCUCAUCGGCAGGAUUGCACCCGGCAUAGUGAAGCGCUGGCCUAGAGAGGAAGGUAUAUGAUAUGGUCAGCCCUCCAAUCCUUGGAUGUGGAGCCUGUGGCUACGGAACCCGCGUAAAUGGAGGGCCGAUUGUACUCCUUAUGUAAAGGACAUGAGCACCCGCGGAUUUUGCUGUCCACGGGGGUCCCCAUGGAUACCGAAGGGUAGCAAGUUGCAGGUCCCCCAGGGAAAGUGCAGGAGUGGGAGCCUUACCAUGUGCUGCGGUGCUCGUGACAGUCUGCUUGGCAGUCACUUACCGAGAAGAAUGAAUGGCUGGCUACUGUAUAAACCCUGCCCCAUAUCUGUUCAAGUAGUUCUCAGUUAUCAUUAAUCAGAAUAAUGGUUCUUAAACUUUGGCGUGCACCAGAACCACCUAGAAGGCUCCUUAAAACACAGACCCAAGGGCCCACAAACAGACUUUCCGACUCAGGAGGCCCAGGGUAGGGCUGGUUCAACUGAAGAGGCUCUUCUAAGAAAGACAACUGAGAUCAUCAGUCAUGCCUGGCGAUGCUUCGGUGACAGGAGUGACUGAGGGGCAGGCCUGGAGACAGAUGCUUGGCCACCCCAUGUAUCCAAACCUCCCCAUGUAUCCAAACCCCCAGAAAAUGCCUGGAAGAGAGCGGAAGGGGAGGACUGAAGAUAAUCCUUAACUUUUCUAAAGCAGGAAUAUAUUACACUCAAUGAACUUCAAAUAUUUGCCCCUCUUGUGAGUUAGGGUGACUAUUUGCAUUGAAGAGGAAGAAAAUAAUCUUUAGAGCUCACUUUUCUAAGAUCGUGGAAAACAGAUAAAACACAGAAUCCAUUGCUUUGGGCGAAAAAUAGUGAUAAUAACUCUACGUACGCUCAAUGACUCCAGAAUUGUCAUUUAUAGUAUCUAUUAUACGUUAAAAAAAAAAACUAAAUUGAAAAAAUAGAUUCCAAAGGUAAGAAGAUUGAGGGUUGGGGGCUAGAGGGACGAACAGGUAGAGAGCACAGAGGACUCGCAGGGCAGUGAACCUAUUCUGUUUGCUGCUGUAAUAGUGGACCCAUAUCAUUAUACAUUUGUCAAAGCUACAGAACGUACAACGCCAAGAGUGAAUCCUAACGUAAACUACUGUCUUAGUUAAUAAUGAUGUAUCUAGGUUAGUUUAUCGAUGGUAGUAACUACACCACAGUAAUACAGAAUAACGGGAACCGGCGGGUGAGGUGGGGAGAAGGGGGCAUACGGGAACUCAGUCCUUUCCGCUCCGUGUUUCCUGUAAAAAUAAAACCUUUU